CCUACGGGUGGCAGCAGUGGGGAAUAUUGCACAAUGGGGGAAACCCUGAUGCAGCGACGCCGCGUGAGUGAAGAAGUAUUUCGGUAUGUAAAGCUCUAUCAGCAGGGAAGAAAAUGACGGUACCUGAUUAAGAAGCCCCGGCUAACUACGUGCCAGCAUCCGCGGUAAUACGUAGGGGGCAAGCGUUAACCGGAUUUACUGGGUGUAAAGGGAGCGUAGACGGCAGCACAAGGCUGGAGUGAAAUGCCGGGGCUUAACCCCGGAACUGCUGUGGAAACUGUGCAGCUAGAGUGCAGGAGAGGUAAGUGGAAUGCGUGGUGUAGCGGUGAAAUGCAUAGAUAUUAGGAGGAACACCGGUGGCGAAGGCGGCUUACUGGAGUGUAACUGACGUUGAGGCUCGAAAGCGUGGGGAGCGAACAGGAUUAGAUACCCUUGUAGUC
This 440-nucleotide ribosomal RNA is filed under the name uncultured bacterium. Its description in RNAcentral is "partial 16S ribosomal RNA". It matches the Rfam family "Bacterial small subunit ribosomal RNA", at positions 338 to 795 of the family's 1533-position model. The record is from RNAcentral.